This 163-nucleotide ribosomal RNA is filed under the name uncultured bacterium. RNAcentral's name for it is "partial 16S ribosomal RNA". It matches the Rfam family "Bacterial small subunit ribosomal RNA", at positions 355 to 511 of the family's 1533-position model. The record is from RNAcentral.
UAGGGAAUCUUCCACAAUGGACGAAAGUCUGAUGGAGCAACGCCGCGUGAGUGAAGAAGGGUUUCGGCUCGUAAAACUCUGUUGUUAAAGAAGAACAUAUCUGAGAGUAACUGUUCAGGUAUUGACGGUAUUUACCAGAAAGGAACGGCUAAAUACGUGCCAA